Molecule: ribosomal RNA, 683 nt
Filed under: uncultured bacterium
Lineage: Bacteria
Description: partial 16S ribosomal RNA
Rfam family: Bacterial small subunit ribosomal RNA
Source: RNAcentral
AGAGUUUGAUCCUGGCUCAGAAUGAACGCUGGCGGCGUGCUUUACACAUGCAAGUCGAGCGAGGCGCGGUAGCAAUACUGCAGUCGAGCGGCGAACGGGUGAGUAACGCGUGGAUGACCUGCCCUUUAGUGGGGAAUAACCCGGGGAAACCCGGGCUAAUACCGCAUAAGACCGAGAGGUGAAAAGGGGCCGCAAGGCUCCUGCUGAAGGAGGGGUCCGCGUCCGAUUAGCUAGUUGGCAGGGUAAUGGCCUACCAAGGCGACGAUCGGUAGCCGGCCUGAGAGGGCGAUCGGCCACACUGGAACUGAGACACGGUCCAGACUCCUACGGGAGGCAGCAGUGGGGAAUUUUGCGCAAUGGGCGAAAGCCUGACGCANCAACGCCGCGUGGAGGAUGAAGGUCUUUGGGAUUGUAAACUCCUGUCAGCGGGGAAAAAGGGAGGUGACCUCAUACGUCAUCGACUUUGAUNGUACCCGCAGAGGAAGCCCCGGCUAACUCUGUUGCCAGNAGCCGNGGUNAUACAUANGGGGGCAANCGUUAUUCGNAAUUAUUNGGGCGUUNAGGGCGCUNUANGCGGNUUUNCAAGNUGACGGGUUGAAAUCCCUCNGGUGUAUCCGANGAACUUGCCUUUCCAANCUUGCCUGGGNUUNNGACCNCGGACAGGGUGANUNGNAAUUCCCNAC